Molecule: long non-coding RNA, 1254 nt
Organism: Mauremys reevesii (Reeves's turtle)
Lineage: Eukaryota; Metazoa; Chordata; Testudines; Geoemydidae
Exons: 6
Source: RefSeq, a predicted model, not a curated record
GCAGAACACACAAGCAGAGUGAGCAGACCGAUAGUGCAAAUGCCACAUCAGUGCCACCAUUUAACAGUCACACUGUGCUGUGCGGGAGAGAGGGGGAGCAGGGGGUGGAGUGAGGUUGGGGUGACAGGACCGGGUGAGAGGGGGUUGGAGCUGUCAGCCAAUCAGCACAGGAGAGAAGACAGGCAGAGUGACACUGUCACAAGUAGCAUGAUGACAUCAUCAACCACUAUGUCCCUCUGGACACAGAGGAGGUGAACUACAACAGCCAGGGCACAGCCUGGGCACAGCGCUGGCUACAGGCAGAGUGACCCCAAACCUGCUCCCGCCCCCGGCUGUGUGGGAGCAACAAACCUGUGGGAAUUCAUGAGCUCUGAGAGCUGCCCAGAGGGGCUACGAACCUUGUUGUAAAGUCUGAGAUUCCCCCUCCCAUCCCCAGUGAAAUGAACAAAGGGACCUCACCUUUCUCUGCACGAUGCGCCGCUGGAAGUGAAUAACAGGAGAGGUGGGUUACAAGGCAGAAGAUUUAUCUCUCCUGGAAUCUAGUGGAGAUGUGAUGAUUUCAGCCUUCCUUCUUAGAGAAAAAGUAUGUUUCUAGCCCUUGUUUCAAAAUGUGACUCCAGUGCACCCUAAAGGCUCAAAAAGCAGAAGGCAAAUUAAAAGAACCCCCCAUCGACUAUUUUUACAUCAUCCCGUGAUUUUAAAGCCAAUCUCCUGAUUGUUGAGGGGAACAGGGCAGCAGUGAUGCUGUGAGAAGCUGAAGGCCAGGGAUGAAAAUCAUCAGAAUCAUACUUAAGAAUUGCUUAUUUGGAACCCAGAUAAAUGCAGUAACUGGCCAGGAGAAUGAGAACAGCCAGGACAGCCAGGAUCACACCCAGAGCCACCAGCCCAGGAUUGACUCGUGGGAAAAACAGCUCUGCAAGAGAAAGUGCCAUUGACUUGGGAGCAAACACGCGCAGAAUGAAGGCAGGACCCUGUGACAAUGGUGACUCUGUGACUAGUUAAAAGAAUCUCAAGGUACAACAAUGGAAAAGCCAGACAGGGCGGAUGGCCCAUCAGCAAGAGACAAUGGACGGUAAAAGAGCUUAGUCUUCCCAUGAACCUGUGGGUCAGCCUGUGAAGAAUGGCUACAGGGGCCCUACAGAGGCAUGUGACCAUGUCACCUGAUACCGGAACCCAGCUUGAAUUCUGCACUUUUCCAUGAGAUGCUGGGGUGGGGGUCAAACUAGGAAACAAAGGACUCCCACCUUACGCAAA